UACGUAGGGACCAAGCGUUGUCCGGAUUUAUUGGGCGUAAAGCGCGCGUAGGCGGCCCUGUAAGUCCGUUGUGAAAGUCAAAGGCUCAACCUUUGAAAGCCGAUGGAUACUGCAGGGCUAGAGUCCGGAAGAGGCGAGUGGAAUUCCUGGUGUAGCGGUGGAAUGCGCAGAUAUCAGGAGGAACACCAAUAGCGAAGGCAGCUCGCUGGGACGGUACUGACGCUAAGGCGCGAAAGCGUGGGGAGCGAACAGG
This 253-nucleotide ribosomal RNA is filed under the name uncultured bacterium. RNAcentral describes it as "partial 16S ribosomal RNA". It matches the Rfam family "Bacterial small subunit ribosomal RNA", at positions 524 to 776 of the family's 1533-position model. The record is from RNAcentral.